This is a long non-coding RNA of Neltuma alba, 160 nucleotides long. RefSeq lists it as uncharacterized. The record is from RefSeq and is a predicted model, not a curated record. The transcript has 3 exons. NCBI's taxonomy places the organism in Eukaryota, Viridiplantae, Streptophyta, Magnoliopsida, Fabales, Fabaceae.
UCUGGAGCUAAAUAUGAAUCAAGUUGUAGUAAUGUCAAUGUCUUGGGACCAACAUCAUCUUCUAGCCAGUCUACUCAUGUUGCAGGACAUACAGAUGAUAAUGACCAUUUCUUUGUUGCUUUUGGUAUGGCAUGUGAUAUUCUUAGUAUAUCAAUCAUUA